This 40-nucleotide ribosomal RNA is filed under the name Diaporthe discoidispora. RNAcentral describes it as "partial 18S ribosomal RNA". Lineage: Eukaryota; Fungi; Ascomycota; Sordariomycetes; Diaporthales; Diaporthaceae. The record is from RNAcentral.
CUAGAACGCGCCCCAGGCGCACCCAGAAACCCUUUGUGAA